CGAAUCCUGAGUACCAGUGUUAUCCCAUUUUCAAGUACUUUGAGAAUUGGUGCCAAGAUGAGAACAGGCAUGGUGAUUUCUUCUCUGCAUUGAUGAAGGCACAGCCUCAAUUUCUCAAUGACUGGAAAGCUAAGCUGUGGUCUCGAUUCUUCUGCUUAUCGGUAAUUUCCAAUGCAUACCCAUAUGUUCUAUUUUCGUUAAUCUAAUGUUAAUUGUGGCUGAUCUAUAUGCACAAAAUAUAUAUGCAUUUGUUUCUGGGUUUAGGUAAGAAGUGUCCUCUUUGAUGAAUUAAAUCUGAAACUCAAUGUUAAAAUUCAUUCUAGUUUGGUGUUUCUAUAUGCAGUUGGUAAUUCCCUUUUAAUUAAAUGUUUGAGAAAUGAUGUUGCAGGUGUAUGUGACAAUGUACCUCAAUGAUUGCCAGAGAACAGCUUUCUAUGAAGGCAUUGGAUUGGACACCAAAGAAUUUGACAUGCAUGUUAUCAUUGAGGUGAGACUGAUUUCAGCUCUGUAACAUCCAACUCAUACUUUUCUGCUUGCUCCUUGACUAGAUAAUAUCUUGAGAUUGGAAAUUUUGUUCCUUUCAGACCAGGGAAUUGAUAGAAAAUAAAUCAAUUUUAUUGAAUAUUAUGAAUUUCGAAUUUAAGUGCUAGUAUGAAACAUUUUUAGAACUUGAGAAGAUGCCCUUUAAUAAACCUACCUGGUACAAAUCCAAAUAAGUUGAAUUAGUAGGUUUUGGAUAAGAGAACAUAAAAGAAUCAAAGUUGUGCAGCCGUAAACUUUUACAAAAUCAUGGAUGAUUUUAGUUUCUUUAAAAUGAAAAUUUUUGAGAAUUAAAUUCUUUCAUUCCAAAUAAUAUUAAGGAAUUAAUAGAAAAACUGAAACUAGUGCAACCGUAGACUUAGCUUGGUGAUAGUCGCAUAUUGUGGAACCUGAGAGUUCCGGCUUCAACUCCCCCCUCCCCUUAGCCAGUAGUAAAAAUAAAAAUAUAAAAGUGGUGUUAUGAUGGUUCUGCUUUUACAACGCGUCCAAUAGGAUGUUCAAUUGUGACCAAAUCACUAUAUUUGCACAAGUCUAUGAAGAUAGUUGUCCAAAAUUUUCUUUUCUAUGCAGACAAACCGUACGACAGCAAGAAUUUUCCCAGCAGUGCUGGAUGUUGAGAACCCAGAAUUCAAGAGAAAGUUGGACCGUAUGGUGGAAAUUAACGAGAAGUUGGUUGCUGUUGGGGAAACCCAAGACAAUUCAUUGGUGAAGAACUUGAAGAGGAUUCCACUUGUUGCAGCAUUGGUUUCUGAAAUCUUGGCUGCAUAUCUGAUGCCACCAAUUGAAUCUGGUUCUGUAGAUUUUUCAGAGUUUGAACCACAACUGCUUUACUGAUAAGUUUUCCUUUUGUUUCUCAUGUAAUAUUCAUCAUAUAAAUCUGAGGAAACAUUUUCAUCAACCUUGUUAUAAUUUUCUUCACCGUCCACAUGUCUCCUUAUGAUUAAGAUUUAUUAAAAUCCUACGGUAUUUUAUUUGCAAUUUUAUGAUUUCCUACAAUUUAAUUUCUGUAAUGUAAACACAUACAGAGAUAAAAAAUUUUAAAAAAACAACGAUCAAAUAGUUAGCUCUUAAAUUACAGAUUUCACUGAAUUACAAAGAUCAAUUUACUAAACUAUGUUAAUCAAAUUAUGUUUAUGUAGGUGAUAGGGAAAAAUAAGCUCUUAUUAUUAUGUCUAACUACAUGUGCAUCUUUCACUUUCACAUCAUAUCAUCUUUUUAAUUCCAUAUUUACACUAAACAUAUAAAGGAAGUUCAGUUUCCUAAUUUUUUGAUAAUAUUUAUUAAAAAGUAAUUAAGAAAAUUCUAAUUUUAUUUAAUAAUUAAAAAUAAAAUAAUAUUUUAUUAUUGUUAGUAUAAAUAUCUAAAAUCUAUUAAACUUGAAUUAGAAAAGAUGAGAUUAUGUGAGAUAUAAAAAGAGAAAAACACUAUUUUUUUGAUUCAAAAAAGAAAAACACUAUUUUAAUUAAAUUAACUUAUAUAAAAUGAAUUAAAACACUCACUUGUUUCCACACAUCUAGUUCACAAGCACUUUAAAGCAUUAUCUCAUAUUAUGUCCUUCUAGCAAUAGCAUAAGGAAAUACGGGUAUAUAUUUAUAUAACUUCUGUAUUCAUUACUGUUUAAUACGUACAUACUAAAAUAUAAUUGAAUAAAACACAAAAGAUUAUGAUGACUAGUUAUAAUGUAGAUCUAUAUGCAAUUUAAUUAUGGACAAUAAAAAUGAUAUAACAUAAGUAUGAUAAGCAAAUCCAGUGCCCCUAAUUAACUAAUAUCAAGAUUUAGCAUAUACAAACAAAUGAACUUUAGAUAUUCUCAUAUAUUUCUAAGUAUACAUGAAAUAAAUAUUUAAUUGAUCUUUGUCAUAUUAUAUGACUAAUGCUUCCACAUUUCAAUAAUCAAAUGCAUAAAUGGUAGCUCUAUGAACAUAUAUGAAAAAUCAUAGGAUUAUUGUAAACUUUUAAUUAAAUCUCAGUAAUUAUAAACACACAGCGAGAUUGACUAGAUAGACAAAGUAAUUAUAAUUAUAGACAUGGAGUGCCAAAUAGUAGACUUAAUAGCUAGAUUUAUAAAUGUGAUGGUAGAGCUCAAAAGCUGAACUUGUAAGGUAUCUCAUUGUACCCUUUGAAUAUAAGUCAAACAAAAGGUAUUAGUAUUGUAGAUCUGUGUAUAUAACAUGUCAUAUCCUUAUACUAAUCUCGACUUCUACUGAGUUUACUAGAACUAAAUACAUUAGAUAUCACUUAUCAAAUUAUAUUAGAUAAACAUAUGCAUUAUUCCAUAUCAUUCUUUAAACAAAAAUAUCAAACUAUGCAUAUUGGCAAUAUUGUAAUUUCAUAUUAUUGGAUGCUCAUUAUCGGUAGCAUUAUUUCAAUGCACAAUUUUAAUAGCUUAAUAAUUUUAGUGGCAUAAUAAGUAAACUUGAAAUAAUCAUCUUGAACUUCAAGCAAGCAUGAAAUGGUCAUUUUGUACUUAUUGAUGCACGAAAAGUUUUUCGAUAAUCUAGCAAGUACAUAAACUAAGCAUGUCAAGCAAGCAUAUGCAUAAUUCUAACAAAAAGCAAGCACACCAAAUUUUUAAGCCUAUUAUCACACUAAGAAUACAUUCAAUCCAAAUUUGUGACACAUUUUAAAAGACAAAAUUAGAGUAAAGUCUCUUCAUGAAAGUUGUAUAUUUUUAUCUUAACUUUCAAUAAGGUAUGGUAUACUUAAUACUUAACUUAUGAAUUUUAUUUUAUAAUCUGCCUUAUAAUAUGUUUAACAGUCUAGAUUAGAUAUCGAUUCUAACUUACUAAAGAAAAUAAUUUAGUAAUUUUGCAUAUAUAAUUAGACUUAGGUGUCUUUUACAAAAUUUUAGUUCUACUUCUUACAAUUCAUUUGGCUCUAGCCUUACCUUAUUUUACUAAGUAUAAAUCUAGUUAAAGUUUAAAGAAUAUAGACCGUUUUGGAUAUACUAAUCCUAGAACCGGUUUUGUCUUGUAUUUUUCAUUAUCUUAGAUUUAGAAUCAGAAAAUGAUAUUUCAUUAAAGUUUUAGUUUAUUGUCUUAAGUUUCUUUUGUUCGUGUUACACCUCAAUUGAAUAUUUACACAAGAAGUUAAAACUUUCUAAACAUAUAUUGCCCAAUAGGUAUACAAUUUGCCGCAUUAGGAUUUAAUAACUAAACUAGUUUUCCUUCAUUUUCAAUCUUUCAAAACUCAUUUCUAAAUUUAUAUAGCACUUUUAAAUAUUCAAUUAUAUACCACCAAUAACAACACAUAAAUCCUAAUUGUACAAAUUCAAGAAAAAUUCAAAGAAAAUUUAGAAAUCAAAGAAUACCAAACUUUUUACUCCAAUUCCUUUCUAAUUUCUUUGUUUCACCAUCUUUACCCUUCACUAUUUCUUUUUCCGUUGAAGUUGACUCACCUAUAUCAAUUUGUAUUAUAAAAGAAUUGAAAAAAAAAAGAAAAAGAAAAAGAAAGCUUUAUGCAUUAAAUUAGUAUAUGAAAAUAUAAAAGGAUGAAACUUCCUACACUUUUCCUUCAGGUUAAGUUCCUUUAGUGUAGGAAAAUUUUUCAAGACUCUUGUGAUUUGUAUAAAUGUAACGCUUUUCGCCAUAAAUAUAUUGCCUCCAUAUCUUUAAUGUAAAAAUUAUGGCUGCCAACUUCGAAUCAUGGAUGGGAUAGUUUUUCUCAUGCAAUUUAAGCUGCCCAAAACCAUAGACAACUACCUUUCCCUCCUACAUCAAAAUGCAACCAAGUCCAUAAUGAGAAUAUCACUACAAAUCAUAAAAUCCUUGUCCCACAUUGGUUGAUUAAGGACAUGUGCUCCUACAAGCAUCACUUGUAGUUUUUCAAAGCUUUCCUAGCAUUUUCCAUCCUAUUUAAAGUUAGUAUUUUUAUGCAACAAUUUAGUUAGUAGAGCUAUUAUAAGUGAAAAUCUCUUUACAAAUCGUAUGUAAUAUCCAACUAACCUGAAAGAAACUUCUAAUCUCUGUAGCAUUCUUAUAUGGCUUUUAUUCAAGGAUUGCUUCAAUCUUUUUAGGGCCAACUCUAAUCCCCUUUAUUGAAACAUAAGUGUAUAAUAUAAUCAAUAUCUAAUACCCAUAACUGAUUUUCAAAAACAAUAUUAGUAUUUAUUUUAAUAAUAUAAAUAUUAGUAUAUCCAUUCAUCUUCAUCCAUGUUGCUCAGUUGGAGUUCCUUCCAACAACUCGCAAUAGAAUAACAGUUUUGAUAUCUCAUAUCGUUCCAUGCGACAUUAUUUUCUUCAAAUGGAAGAUGAUUGUAUGAGCAUCCAUAUGCUCGUGUUGCUUUUAGAGCUCUGAAGAUAUAGAGGCAAGCAUGAUGCAUGUUGCAUGUUGCCCACUCACUAUCCUCAGUAUGCUUUAGAUAAGCAGCAUAUUCCUCAGCAAGUGCAUCAUCUCGUGAACUAGUGGAAUAGCCUUAUCCAACACAUUAACUACUUUUUUAUACUUAGAGAACAAUUCUAAAGUUUUAGUACCAGGCCAUGAAGUUUGAGCCAGAUAGAUUAUUUGCAUCAAGAAUGCUUUCCAAGUUAAUGUUUUAAGUUUUCAUGAUGAUGAUGAGAUAGAUGUAAAGAAAACAUAUUAGAGUAUGAAUAUGAAUGCAUUAUUUAUGGUCUUUAAAUUAUGCAUUUUACCCACUAUUUUAUUGCAAACCAAUAGCCCUCACUAUUAACUCGAGAAAGCUUAUUGGGGUUUUCCUAGUGAGUCGGUUUUCAAUUAAAUUAAAAUUAAGCAUUGAGCAUGCUCAAUAAAUCCAAUUUUAAUUUUUAUGGUAGGUAUCUCAUACCAAUUGCAUCUUAUGCUACUAUUGAAUCAUUGGAAUAUCAACUCUUAAUUAAUGUAUAUCUCAUAUAUAUAAUUCCAUUCUUGCCUCUAAUUUUAACCGUCUUGAGUAUGCUCAACAAAUUAAAAAAAUUAUUUAAGACAUACCCAUUAAUAAGAUUUGAACAUAUUCGAUGUAGAAUUAGUUUGAGUAUAUUCAAGAAUCCAGUUGUAAAUAGAAUCUUGGUUUCCACUUUAUUAAUAAAAGGCAUGAUAUCUUAAUGCUAUUAUGAGAGAUUUUUUCCUUUUAAUUCUCAUCAUACAUAACAUACAUACUUUUAUCAUACAAAAGUAAAUAUGAUUUAGUUAUGAACUUUUCUACAUUGGAUUCUUCGAGCCAUGAAGCAUGAGGUCUCUUCUAGGCAGAUUGCAUGAUUUACAAUCUAAAGAAAAUAAUUACAAUCUAUCUAAUUUUCUUCUUUGGAUCUCCUUUCGAAAUGCCUCCUACAAGUUUCCAUGUGCAACUUCUUACUUUGGUAUUUAAUUCUAAUAUAAUUCUACGUAAUUUAAUUGUAUAAUUCUUUUCAAAAAUAUCUCAAGUUGCAUUUGAGGAGAGUAAGAUGAGAAAAGAAAUACAAUAAAGAGAUAUAGAGAAAGAUAGGAUAUACAUGCCCUAUUUUUCAAAAAUAAAAAUUAUACAUGAUCAAUCAUAUUGGUCAUUUUAAUUCAUAACUAAAUCAUCAUACCAUCAUACACUCUUAAAUGCAAAAUCUGGUGCAAAGAAAAACUCCGCAUAUACUUCUGUCACUUGAUGGAUUUUGAGCAUCCAACUUUUGAAUUUCAAUUUUUUUACAUAUAUCUAUUUUUAUUAUGGAAUUCAAAUUGAAUUAAAUAAUCUCACUAAUUUAAUUUGAAAAUUAUAAUAUUAAAUAUGAAUUUUAAUAAUUAAAUUAGAUUUUAUAAUCUCAUUAUAAUUUUUUGUUAGCCAUUUUCUUGCUUAGAAAUUAAUCCAAAUGACUUGGACAUAAUUUUAAAUCUUAUGAACAUAAAUUAUAAUAUAUUAUAAUUAAUAUAAUUAAUGAAUAACAGCAUCUAAGCUGAAACUAGCUCUAAGAGUUAACAAGAAGCUUCUAAACUUAAUUAUAUUGCAUGUUCAGAUUUUGUGCAAAUUGAUUUAUUAUUAAAAUCUAUCAAAUAUUACAUAUUAUAUAGCAAUCAGAUUUAAAAAUUUUGGGAUUAAUGGUCACCAAAAGCUCUAUGUAAUGAAUUUAAUUCACUACUCAAUUUUAUUUUGGCCAGAAUUUCAUCUUAGACCAAAAUUCUUAAUUUUAAUUGCAAUAAAAUUCCAAUAAAACACUGAUCUGAUGUUAAUUGAAUUAAAAUUAUUUUUUAUUUGAUUAACUGAUCUAAUUUUAAUUGAAUUAAAAUUAUUUUUUAUUUGAUUAUAUCUGAAUUUUCAUCUCAUGAAGAUUCCUAAACAACAACAAUUUCAAGAUUCUUGCAAAAUUGUAUACCAUGGCCGAAUUCUCUUCUUUGCCGAAUCUUGAUCCUAUUUUUCAAUCAAAAUCAGAACUUAAUCAAUUCUAGUUAUUUCAAAAAUAUUUGUAAUUAAUUUAAAUUAGGUUAUUCAUCUUAUAAAAUAAUUGCGCAAUCAGCCCCUAUCAAAUUUUUUUUUCCGAAUAAUUAGUUACAAGGUCAAUUCUAAACUUUUUUUACACUUGUUUAUUAAUCAAAUUUAGAUUUUACUUAUUCUUAAUUAAUUCUGUAUAUUUAUAAUUAAUUUAGAUCAUAUUAUUCAUCAAAUAAAUAAUUAAAAAUAAUUGCACAAAUCAACUCCUAUUAGAUUUGUUAUAGAGUAUAGGAAGUAAAUAUCUUAAUAUGGGAAGUAAAUAUUGAUAGCUGUGUUAGUUGCUUAAUCUUAUAAUUGUAUAAUCAUAGACUUAAUUUUCCUUCAUGUUUAGAUACCGUCUUUUAUAUAUAAAUAGAUUAUAAUCUUUAUUAUGAAAUAUAAUAAUAAAAUAUUAUAUUUCUACAUAGUAUCAGAGUUAGGUUCGUAGAGAUUUAUUUUUUUUCUCUCUCGUCAAGUCUUAAAUUUUUGGAGACUCAAGACUCCUAUUCUUUUGUGUUAUCUAUCUAGGAUAAUAUUUGUCUCUCACCGUUCACCUAAAGAGGAUGUCAAAGUCGCCUUUCAGCUCCCUUAUCAGAUUUGCGGUUCGUUUAGGUGUUGGGUGGAGGCUUUUUUUGAUACUAUUCAUUUGGGUUAUCCAUAAAAGGUAACAUUUGGAGACUUAGGGCUUUGUUCAUUUGGGUUAUCCAUAAAAGGUAACAUUUGGAGACUUAGGGCUUUGUUCAUUUGGGUUACCCAUAAAAGGGUAACAUUUGGAGACCUAGGCUCUGUUCAUUUGGGUUACUCAUAAAGGGUAACAUUUGGAGACCUAGGACUCUGUUCAUUUGGGUUAUCCAUAAAGGGUAACAUUUGGAGACUUAGGGCUCUGUUCAUCAGGUAUUAUUCACGGGAAUUAUUCAUCGGGUACUGUUCACGAGUACGGUUCAUCGGGUGCUGUUCACGAGUCUCGAGUACUGUUCACGGAUUCGAAAUUCUAUUCACAGUAAGAUGAUUAGUCUUAUUAAUCAUUCUAAAUUUGUUAAAGAAUUAAUGGAGUAUUUGAAAUUUCUAUAUUCUGGCAAAGGGAAUAUUUCUCGUAUUUAUGAUGUGUGUAAGGUGUUUUACCAAGCUAAGAAAAUGUGGCCUCCCGUUGUAGUGUUGAACCUGAAUGUCAAGUCAUAGCACAAAUCAUUUGUGAAGUUCUGUAGGUACGUCAAUUAUUGGAAGAAGUUAGAUUCACAAAUUCAGUGUCUGCUAAGUUGUAUGGGACGAGUUGAGUUACCCAUAAAAGAGUAACAUUUGGAGACAUAAGGCUCUGUUCAUUUGGGUUACUCAUAAAGGGUAACAUUUGGAGACCUAGGACUCUGUUCAUUUGACUUAUCCAUAAAGGGUAACAUUUGGAGACUUAGGGCUCUGUUCAUCAGGUAUUGUUUGUUGGAAAAUGGUAGAAAAAGAUAGAGAAAAUAAAUAAAAGAUGAGCAGAAUAUUGCUUGAGGCGUGAUAAUAAUCACUGUCCUUAAGGAUAAUUCACCUACAGUUGCGUAUCCUCCAGGAUUCAACAAGCCUUCUGAAUUACAAGUAACCCAGGAGCAAGAACAGCAGCUUAUGUUUAAUUACCCAGAAAUAGAGAAGAAACAAUAGAGAGAAAAGAGAAGUAUUUAGUUUUUUUGUGUGUAUCCCAUAACACAUAAAUGCACUCCUAUUUAUAGUGCUUAUGGUUAUUCAAAUCCACAAUAUCAGAUAAAAAUAUUAUUCAGUUAAGAUAAAGAUUUAAGAUAUCCACAAAAUCAAAUAAAAAAUCUGGUUUAGUUAGGAUAAAGAUUAAGAUAAUUUAAAGUGGAAAAAAUCUUUUUAACCAACUUAAAAUCUGUAACUUAUUUCAAAAUAUUUUUAUGAUUCUUUUGAAAUAAUUUGUUAAAUAUCCAACAUUGUUCACGGGAAUUAUUCAUCGGAUACUGAUCACGAGUACUGUUCAUCGGGUAUUGUUCACAAGUCUCGAGUACUGUUCACGGAUUCGAAAUUCUAUUCACAGUUGUAACAGCCCGGAAAUCCGGACCGCUACCGGCGCUAGGAUCCAGAUCGGCGUAAGGCCGCCGGGACCCGUAGCAAGCCUGACAUAUAUCCUGUAAACCUGUAAAUCCCAUACAUGAUCAACAAAACUCAUAAACCUGUAAUCAUUCUCAUAUAACAACCAAGCUCAACCUGUACAUAAACAUAAACAUAUCAUAAACCUCCACUGGAGCCCUCAUCAAAUGCUCCAAUGGGGUAUCUCAUCAUACAUAAACUUGGCUGAAAUAUAACCUCAUGUCUCAUAUCAUAAAGACCAUGUACAUACAAGUGGGAUCAACAAUCUGUAUUGGUCAAGCACAACUCUAUCCUCAAUAUUCAAAAUUUCACAACAUGAAUUAAAACUCUUUUACAUUACAUCAUAAUACAAUGGUCAUGUCCACAAUCUAACUAUUACAUAACAUUGCUUCAUACUCUGGCUAACCUCCUGGUCUACCCUGUACCUGCACAUCUGGGAUUAGGGGAGAGGGGUGAGCUAUAAAGCCCAGUGAGCAGAAUAGAGAAAACAUAUAUUAAAAUAUUUCAUGCUUCCAUGAAAUGCAACACAUCACAAACAUAUCACAUAAGGAUGGUAUUGUCACCUAUAGUCCUCAACAUAUUCCAAUCGUGCCAGGGGCGUAGAAUGGGCCUCACUGGUCUUUCUCUUACAUACAUAACAUAACAUAACAUUCCAAUGUGCCAGGGGCGUAGAAUGGGCCUCACUGGUCUUUCUCUUAACAUAGUCCAGGGGCGUAGAAUGAGCCUCACUGGCAAUCCGUACCGUAUCAUCAUCAUAUCAUACCAUAGGAGGACUAGAGGAUCAUCCAAUAGCCAAUCCGCAUCCACAUCAUAUUAUGCAAUGCAACAUAUUCGUGAUUACUAAUGCAAACACCCUAUAAUAUCACAUGGCAUAUAUGAUGCAUGAACAUGCUCAAAAAGUUAUAUUUCAUUUAUUUAAAAACUUAAGGUUUAUUCCACUCACCUCUGGCUGAAGCUCUACAGACUCUGAAGCAGCUAUCUCACUGCUGGGGUCCUCGGUUCCUCGGGUCCGAACCUACACAGGUGGACUCCAAUGAGGGACCAACAUACAUAAACAUAACUCUAAUAAACUCCCCAAAAACCCCCUAAAACAUCAGGAAAACAUCAUAUAGAAAGAUGCAUGAAAUGGCUGAACAGGGCACUUUCGGCGGCACCUUCGGCGGCCGAAAGUCCUGGACAGAUCCGAAAGUCAGGCACUUUCGGCGGCACCUUCGGCGGCCGAAAGUCCCAGACAGAGACGAAAGUCUCUUUUCGGGGGCAACUUCGGCAGCCGAAUGCUGCCUCCACAAAAGAGGGUUCGGCGGCCGAAAGUCACUUCGGCGGCCGAACCUGAGCUUCUCCCGAAGGGCAGAAACUCAGCUCCUCUAUGCACAUUUUGCCUCCAAAGCUCAAAUCAUGUAAAAACUAGUUCUAAAACAUGCAUACCUCACAUACAUUACACCUAGGGGUCUCAAGCUAUCAUAUACCCCAACUACAACACUUCAAACAACACAUAACAAGCUACAUUGUUCAUCAAAGCAUUAAAACCCAUAAACUCAACAUACACCCUAACAUGCAUUUCUACCCAUAGAUCUUGCAUAAAACUUAGUUAAAACACAUAAGGAGCUUAAGAUCAGUUCUUACCUCUUGAAGAUCGAGAGGGAGACGACCUAAACUUGGAGAUCCACAAAAAUGAGCUCCUGAGUUCCCAAAGCUCCAAAACUUGUUUCGAAAGCUUAGAUCUUCAAAACCAAGGGAAAACAAGUGAAAAUCUUGAAAGAUUUAGAGGAAGAACAUCAAAAAUGGGUGAGGGGCGGCGGAAAGCUCACCUUGGCCGAAAAUGGGGAAAAACUCGCCCGUUUUCGGCUAAGGGACCCUUUUAUAGUGGCUGGCCAGACCACGUUCGGGGGCCGAAUGUGCCUCCGCAUGCAUGCCAUGUUCGGCGGCCGAACAUGAGGUUCGGCGGCCGAACCUGGACUUCCCUCACUCGUGCUUUCGGGGGCCUAACGUGCCUCCAAAACGCAUGCAUGUUCGGCGACCGAACUUGACCUUCGGCGGCCGAACCUGGGUUUUGCUCCAAAGACUUUUCAUGUAAAAACUCAUUUAAUUUCAUACUUAAAACAUUAAAAUACAUGAAAACAUUUUAUGAAAACAUGGUUUUACCCUUCUAGAGGUUUCCGACGUUCGAGAUCCCAUCGGACGGUAGGGAUUCCGAUACCGGAGUCUAGCCGGGUAUUACAACAGUAAGAUGAUUAGUCUUAUUAAUCAUUAUGAAUUUGUUAAAGAAUUAAUGGAGUAUUUGAAAUUUCUAUAUUCUGGCAAGGGAAUAUUUCUCGUAUUUAUGAUGUGUGUAAGGCGUUUUACUAAGCUAAGAAAAUGUGGUCUCCUGUUCUAGUGCUGAACCUAAAUGUUAAGUCAUAGCAAAAACCAUUUGUGAAGUUCUGUGGGUACGUCAAUUAUUGGAAGAAGUUGGGUUCACAAAUUCGGUGCCCGCUAAGUUGUAUGGGACGAGUUGAUUAUAUAUGUAACAAGUUGGGUAUAAUUAACAUUUAUGCUCCACCUUGAGGGGAGUGUUAUAGAGUAUAGGAAGUAAAUAUAUUAAUAUGGGAAGUAAAUAUUGAUAGAUGAGUUAGUUGCUUAAUUUUAGGGAUUGUAUAAUCAUAGACUUGAUUAGAUACCGUCUUUUAUAAAUAAAUAGGUUAUAAUCUUUAUUAUGAAAUAUAACAACAAAAUAUUAUAUUUUUACAAGAUUCUUACUCAAAAAAUUAAUUACAAGGUCAAUCUUGCACUUUCUUAUAGAACUUUUUUAGAUUUUAAUGAAUCCUAAAUAAAUUUGAAACUUUUUAAAAUGAUUUAGAUUAAAUUAUUGAUCUCAUAAACUAUCCUAAUCAAGUUGAACAAUUACAAGAAAACCCAAUUCCAUUAAAAAUCUAUGUUGGUCAAAACAUGCAAUAAUUGUUUUCUCCUAAAUCUUAAUGGUAAUCAAACUCUAAUACCAUUUUUGGUCUUUCAAGGUUAUAAAUAAACAUAUGACAAUAAAAAAUUAAAUUAUGAAUACCCAAACAACGGAAGAUUUGAGUUCAUGAAGUAGAAGGUGCAAAAUUUUUACUUUUGAGAUUGAAGUUUCUUGAUUUCUUUCUUUUAAUCGGUUUGAUUCAAACCAUAAUAAUCAAAUUUCAUCACCUCUAAUAAUAAUUCACACCAAGAUGAGAAGCCAAGAGCUCUCAAAGAGCAGCAAUAAUAGUAAAAAAAAUUCUCUAGGUGCUACUAAAGGAAUUCGGCCAAAAGAAAGAAAGAAAGAGGAGAAGUGAUCUUGUCUUGCACGCCCAACCAUUCCCAAGAUGGGUUUUUACAAUCUCCUUAGACUUAUUUUCUCUUAUAAUUUAACCCUAAUAUAACUUUUAUAUGGGCUAGUAAUUUAAUUAAUUGAUUAGAUCUAACUAAUUAAUUAGGGCCAUUAUACAUAUAUUAAUUAAAAAGUGAGCUCUUUUAAUUACUACUUGAUAUAAUGGAUUAGACCCUUUAAUUUUUUUUCUUUUAAAUAGAUCCAUUAAUAUUUCAUGAUAAUAUUUAAAUCAUUAUUUUACUUUGGAUUCUCAUUCCUAUAUGUGCAUGACCAAAUAAGUUUCUAAUUACACAUAAUUUUAAUGUAACGACCCCAGAAUGGACCGUCACCGGCGCUAGGAUUCAGGUCGGCUUAAGGCCGCCAGAACCCGUAGCAAGCCUGUUAUACUCUCUGUGUACCUGUAAAUCUCAUACAUGAUCAUACAUUUUAUGUGAAAAUAAAAACUCUUUUCCUGAUCCAAGGCUUAACCUGUGCAUGCACUAUCUCUGUCUGUACCCCUGACUAGAGCUGGCUCUAGAUGGGUUAUCUCAUACCUGUUAAGCCUGGGUUUUCACAUACUCAGCAAAAUAUAUACAUAAACAGAUCAUGUACAAAAACCAAAGAUUUACAACACAACUAUGUCAAGCACAAUUCUAACUGUAAACACAAUUAACAUAUCUCUUUAAUAUUACAUGUCCACUCUAAGCUAUUACAAGUUUCUUCUCUUAUCUCUGAACUCUUCUGACCUUCCCCUGUACACUGUAUACUGAAUCCUGCAAGACUGGGAUUAAGGGAGUGGGAUGAGCUCUAUAGCCCAGUGAGUAGAACAAUAAAAUCAGUCAUAACAUAUGAUCUCAUGGAAUGCAUCAUAACACAGACAAGCCACAUCAAGAGUAAACCUGUCACCACAUAGCCUCAGUAACUUCCGUGCCAGGGCGUAGAAUCGAGCACCUGGUCUUCCUGUCAUAUAUGUAUAUGUGUGUAUAACACCUCUGUACUUACCGUUGCCAGGGCGUAGUCAAAGGCUCCUGGACUUUACUAUACCUGCCAGGGCGUAGUCAAAGGCUCCUGGUCUUAACUCAGAGACUAUUGGAUCAUUCAGCAUUUACUCACACCAACAAUUAACAAUGCAAUGCAACAUAUUCGUGAAUACUAAUGCAGGCAACCUACUUGCAUAAUCAUGAUGCAUGAGAUAUGAUAAAACAUUCCAUUGUUUCAUUAAAAACAUUAAGUUUAGUUCCACUCACCUCUGGCUCUGGACUGACUCUACAGGUUCAGUAAACUCUGGAGCAGUACUCACUGCUGCUCUCUCUGGUUCCUCUGGUCUGUAUAAACACAUAAAGACUUAAAUGAGGGACCAAACUAUCUUAAGAAUAAUUCUUUUACACUACCCAAGAAACCCCUUACUCUCACUCUAAAACUCAUGCAAAACAUGCAAAAGAAAAGCUGGACAGAACACUUUCGGCGGCAGGUUCGGCGGCCGAAUGUCCCCUUCAGAGACGAAACUCAAGCACCUUCGGCGGCACCUUCGGCGGCCGAAUCCCCCAAACAGAGCCGAACAUGCAAAACCACUCGGGGGCAAGCUGUGGCAACCAAACCACCAUGCAGGAGGUUCGGCGGCCGAAUGAACUUUCGGCUGCCGAACCUGAGUUCAUCCAGAACUCAGCUUCAACGGCAAACCAUCUCCUUCUUCCCUUCAACUUCUCAAACCAUGCAAACGUCACCUCCUCAACAUACAUAUACUCAUGUAUAUGGUUACAGGGGUCCAAACUAUCUACUAACCCCAAACAACAAAUCAAACAUAACACAUAAACAUGUAUACAUGCAUAACUCAUCAAAACUACCAUUAAUAACCUAAGCAUGCAUCUCUUUCACCCCAUAAAACCUUCAGAAAACAUAUAAACAGGUUCUAGAUCUUCCCUUACCUCUGUAAACAGGAAGAUGCACGUACUGAACAAGGGAAACGGAUCAACUUCUCUUCAAACUCUCAAAACCUCAAAAACGUAGCUUGAGUUCUCUCAACUUUCAACACCGUUGCAAACACCUCAACCUUCUGUGUGAUCAACCAAAACAUGUACAGAUGAGUCAUAAGAGACGUGGCCCCAUGGCAAGAAUCUGAGGCCAACAUCUGUCAAAAUACAUGACUCAGCUGACCAGCCAACUCAGCUUCGGCUGCCCAAUCGCAUGCAAAACCAUGCAACAUUCGGGGGCCGAACUUACCUUCGGAAACCGAACCUUGAGCACCUUCGGCGGCCGAACUUACCUUCGGCGGCCGAACUUGGCUCAACUGCCUUAGGUCAUUACAACUCAAAACUCACUUCCAUUAACCUUAAAACAUCAACACACAUCACACCACUUAGUAAAACAUAAAUCCUACCUUUUAUAGAAUUCCGACACCCCGGAUUCCACCAGUCAACAGGAAUUCCGGUGCCGGACUCUAGCCGGGUAUUACAUUUAAUUUAUAAUUUAAACCCUUUAAAUUAUAAUUCAUUCCCAACAAUUUAUUUUAUUUAUAUUAUGUGCUCAUUAUGAAAGGCAUCUAGCUAUGUAUUAUAAUUACUAAAAUGCGAGAAGGUCAAAGGUGGUUUGACCAUAAAUCUUCUUAUCCAGUUAUCAUAUAAUAAAUUCCUUUCACUUUAUUAAAUCAAUCUCUAUUGAAUAUGAUCUUUGUAUUAUAUAUAUUUGGCCAUAGAUUUAUUUUAAAAAUGAUACAACUAUAUCUUACUAUUAAUUCAGAUAUGGUGAAUCCUUUAUUGAUCAUUCAAUUAUCCUAAAGUCUUAUAUGCUCUCAACUUUCAAUACUUCUUGGUGAAGUACAAGCCUUUCAAUCAAAAUAUAGUACUUAUAUACUUAAGAUAUCUUUGAUGAUAUCAAGUCUAAGAUAUUUUCACAAUUGGUAUGAUGUGAUAUGUUUAUUUAUAUUAAAUUCGGGUUUCUAACUUGCUUGUUUUUGAAACAAGCAUACAUAUGUUAAUUUAAGCAUUUUAUAUUUUUAGUUUGCUCAAAAGAGUAUAAUAUAUGCUAGCCUACCUAUAUUAAUGAUGUCUCAUCAUGUUAAUACUAUGGUUAGAGAUAAUUCAGGUAUUAACACAUUUAUAUAUAGUAGAAACCUCACAUUAUAAACUCUUCAUGCUUUCUUAUAUAUUAUAAUUUACAAUACUAAAGACUUUAUUAUUAAUUAAUAGUGAGUACUAAUAAAUAAAGAAUGUCCUUUAAUAAUAAAUAGUUAUCCCUAUUACAAAUCACAUUCUAGGGCAUACUACUAACAUGAACUCCUCUUUACCUUUACAAAUAUCUAUAACCUGCAUGUUGUCAAAAUAAACACGUUGAGCUUAUACCCAAUGGGUGUCUAACAAAGCCUAAGAAACACAUUUCAUAAUAAGCAUGCAUAUUAAAUCAACUAUUUGACAUGCAAUUUAGUUAUGAACAACAAAUAUAAUGUAUCAUAAGCAUAAUGAGCAAGUUCAAUAUCCCUUAUGUAAUGUUGGCUAAUAUAAAGGCAAUUCAAUUCAGCAUAUACAGAUAAAUAAAUUUUAGGCAUUCUCAUAUGGUUCCAAGUAUAUAUGAAAUACAUAUUUCAUUGAUCUUUGUCAUAUUGAAUAUCCAAUACUUUAAGAUCUAUGCCAAAUUCCAAUAGUCAAAUACAUAAAUGAUAGCUUUGUGAACAUAUAUAAAAAUCCAUAGAAUUUCAGUGAACUUUUAACUAAAUCUCAGCCCUUAUAUACACACAUUAGGAUUGACUAGAUAGAUAAGAUAAUUGUAAUUAUAGAUACAGAGUGUCAAAUGGUAGGCUCGCAAGCUAGAUCCAUAAAUGUAAUGGUAGUGAUCAAAAGUUGACUAUGCAGCGAUUUCGCUCUAGCCUGUAAAUCUUAGUCAAAUAAAUGGUAGUAAUACCGUAGAUCUGUGUAUAAUUGUAUAUAGCAUGUCAUACUCUUAUACUAACCUCGACUCCUACUAAAUUUAGUAGGGUCAAAUACAUUUAAUAUAAUUUAUCAAGUUAUAUCAAAUAAAUAUAUGCAUUAUUUUAUGUCAUUCUUUAAGCAAACAUAUCAAAAUAUGAAUAUUGGCAAUUUUAUGUCACCGGUUGCUCGUUAUCGGUAGCAUAAUAAUUUUUGUGUACAAUUCAAUAACUCUAUAAUUUUAGUGGCAUAACAAGUAAACUUAAAAUGGUUAUUUCAAACAUCAAGAAAAUGUGAAAUGGUCAUUUGUACUUAUCUCUUGAUGUACAAAACUUUUUCCACAAGCUAGUACAUAUAUAAACCAAACAUGUGUAAAAUUUCUAAAAAAGCAAGCACGUCAAAUCUUUAAGCCUAUUUUUACACCAAGGCUGCAUUCUAUCCAAACUUGUAAUAGAUUUUUAGAUAUCUUAAACACAUAAUUAGAUGAAAAGUUUAUUCAUAAAAGUUGUGUAUUUUUAUCUUAGCUUUCUAGCAAGAUUUGAUAUUAAUUUUGAGUACUAUAAUUUAUGAAUUUUUCUUUACAAACUGUCCUAAAGUGUGUUUUCAAGUCCUAAUUAGGUACCAAUUUUUAACCUACCAAAGGAAAGCAUUUUGCCAAUUUGCAUUUACAAUUGAAUUUAGGUUUCUUCAAUUAAGCAGGUCCAGUACUUCUUAAGGUUCAUUUGACUCUAUUCUCACCUUAUUAUAAUUAUAGUUUAGAUGAUACAGACUAUUUUGAGUAUCCUAAUCCUGUAAUCAAUUUUAUUUUACUUGUAUUUUUUAUUAUCUUAAUUUUAGAAUUACAAAAUGGUCUCUUUAUCAAAGUUUUAGCUUUCUAUAUUAAGUUUCUUAUAGUUUACAUUGCACCUCAAUUGAACUUCUAUAUAAGAAACAACUUUCUAAACACAACAAGUAUACAAACUAUCACAUUAGAAUUUAGUAACUAAACUAGUUUUCUUCCACUUUUAAUCUUCUAUUUCAAGUUCAUAUAAAACUUUCAAGCAUUUAAUUAAACACUACCAAUAACAAUACAAACCCUAAUUGCUUUUGAUUUAAUAUAUGAAAUAUGAAAGAAUGAAGUUUUCUACAUUUUUCCUUAAUUACCUUUGAUUUUCUCUCUUUGGUAACUUAAAACCCUAAUCUUCCAACUUUGAAACCUUUCACACUACGGCUUUUUCUUUAGUUUUUUGACUUGGGAAAGGGUUUAGUUGAAAAGAGCUUUUGAUUUCAUGAAGAAAAUGGCUUCGAAAUGAAGGAAUUGAUAAGAGCAUGCAUUGGUUUAUCCAUGGUGAUGCGAAAUCCAAGAUCAACUCGUAAUAAAAAACACCAAAUACAUACUUGAUAGAGAACGAGGCAAAGAUAUCUUCCAAAAGUUGCUCUACUAUACUCUUAAUUAACCAAGAUGAUUAGAAAUGAAGAUUAUGGAGCGAAGGUUGCUCUAUUACAUCCCUAACUAACCAAUGCGAUUAGAAACAUAGAUAAUCAAGCGAUUCCAGCCUGAGAACACCACAAGAAAUUUUUGAUAAGUUAACUAAGUAUGGAGGAGAUCCAUAUUAGAAUGUCACAAGAUUGAACCUUGAUAAGUUGCUAAAUAAUGGAGAAGAACCGAAAUAUUAUUCAUAACAUUAUCUCUAUUCAUUUUCUCUCAUGACUGCCACCUUAAGAGUGUUUUUAUAAUCUCUGAAUCCUAAUUCUAGUCUAGGAAGGUAUAAUUACAAUAUAAGAAGGGUAUCUAGUUAAAUAGUUAAACUUAAAUUACAUUAAAAAUCUUUUUUCUAAAUUGUCUUGGAGAAAUUUCCUUCCUAAAUAGGCUGCACGAAUUUUUCUUCUAACUUAGGUCAAAUUAAUUUAAAAUAAAUCUCAUAAAAUACUAAAAUACCGAAAUAACAAAAUUGGUCUAAGUGUAAUUUGACCGUACAUGCAUUACAUGAUCUAAAAUUAUGUUGCGCGUCCACAUGUGUUGAAAAGUGUAUUGCUUAUUUCCUUAUUCUCUCAUGCUUUCCAAGUAUAGUUCUCAUGUGAUGAUAACUUGAUUUUUCAUGGUUUGGAGCUUUCCAUAUUAAAUUUUUGAAGAGUGAAUACUGAUAAGUUUCCUUAUUCUCUCAUGCUUUCCGAAUAAGUUGAAUUAGUAGGUUUUGGAUAAGAGAACAUAAAAGAAUCAAAGUUGUGCAGCCGUAAACUUUUACAAAAUCAUGGAUGAUUUUAGUUUCUUUAAAAUGAAAAUUUUUGAGAAUUAAAUUCUUUCAUUCCAAAUAAUAUUAAGGAAUUAAUAGAAAAACUGAAACUAGUGCAACCGUAAACUUAGCUUGGUGAUAGUCGCAUAUUGUGGAACCUGAGAGUUCCGGCUUCAACUCCCCCCUCCCCUUAGCCAGUAGUAAAAAUAAAAAUAUAAAAGUGGUGGUAUGAUGGUUCUGCUUUUACAACGGGUCCAAUAGGAUGUUCAAUUGUGACCAAAUCACUAUAUUUGCACAAGUCUAUGAAGAUAGUUGUCCAAAAUUUUCUUUUCUAUGCAGACAAACCGUACGACAGCAAGAAUUUUCCCAGCAGUGCUGGAUGUUGAGAACCCAGAAUUCAAGAGAAAGUUGGACCGUAUGGUGGAAAUUAACGAGAANNNN
RNAcentral lists this long non-coding RNA (18846 nucleotides) under Manihot esculenta (cassava). Its description in RNAcentral is "long non-coding RNA (MESC_LNC005322)". Lineage: Eukaryota; Viridiplantae; Streptophyta; Magnoliopsida; Malpighiales; Euphorbiaceae. The record is from RNAcentral.